GCUGGUGUAGCUCAAUCGGUAGAGCAGCUGAUUUGUAAUCAGCAGGUUGGUGGGUUCGAGUCCCCUCGCCAGCUCCG
Molecule: transfer RNA, 77 nt
Filed under: Deltaproteobacteria bacterium
Lineage: Bacteria; Pseudomonadati; Myxococcota; Myxococcia
Description: tRNA-Thr
Rfam family: tRNA
About the family: Transfer RNA (tRNA) molecules are approximately 80 nucleotides in length. Their secondary structure includes four short double-helical elements and three loops (D, anti-codon, and T loops).
Source: RNAcentral